GCGAGCGUAGCUCAGUCUGGUAGAGCGCCACCUUGCCAAGGUGGCUGUCGUGGGUUCGAAUCCCAUCGCUCGCUCCA
RNAcentral lists this transfer RNA (77 nucleotides) under Verrucomicrobiota bacterium. RNAcentral describes it as "Verrucomicrobia bacterium (mine drainage metagenome) tRNA-Gly". It matches the Rfam family "tRNA". Rfam says of the family: Transfer RNA (tRNA) molecules are approximately 80 nucleotides in length. Their secondary structure includes four short double-helical elements and three loops (D, anti-codon, and T loops). Lineage: Bacteria; Pseudomonadati; Verrucomicrobiota. The record is from RNAcentral.